Molecule: small RNA, 322 nt
Filed under: Pan troglodytes (chimpanzee)
Lineage: Eukaryota; Metazoa; Chordata; Mammalia; Primates; Hominidae
Description: transcribed unitary pseudogene
Source: RNAcentral
AUGGAUUUCUCGGAGUCCGAAAAAUUUAUGGUUCUUCUCUGGAAGAAUUUUAUUUUAAAGAGGCGGCGAUGUAUUGCUUUAGUUGUGGAAAUGGUCCUCACAUUUCUGUUUAGUGCUGCACUUUUGGCAACACGCUCUGUUAUUACUAUAAAGAACGGACCUUUCGAUUUUGCUGCUCAGCCUGUCGAUGAAGUGCCUUUCUACAUCACAGCUUCCUUAAUUUCUCCUUCUCCUUUGGAAUUGGCUUACGUGCCUUCCAGAAGUACUGUGGUUCAGGGUAUUAUUGAAAGGGUGAAAAUGGAUUUAAACCCUCAAAUGAAAG